Molecule: non-coding RNA, 617 nt
Organism: Callorhinus ursinus (northern fur seal)
Lineage: Eukaryota; Metazoa; Chordata; Mammalia; Carnivora; Otariidae
Source: RefSeq, a predicted model, not a curated record
CAGGGAGAGAGGAGUUCUGCAUCAGGACGGCUCACUUCUUACCCAUUCCUAAUUUAGAUGACAUGUGAGAAGAGCCCAUGUGAGGACCCAGUGAGAAGGCAGCUGUCUUUAAGAGGGAAAGUGAGGUCUUACAAAACCAACCCUGACAGAACCUUGACCUCGGACUUCCAGCCUCCAGAAUUAUUUAAAACCCUCAUCCUGAGAAGGGAUCCCCAGGCUUCUCCAGACAACCAGAGGCAUCCACAGCAGACAGAGAUGAACGACCCUCAGUGCAAGAGCCCUAGGGUUACAAGACCUCAAGGUGUCUCUCAUAGGUGUGACAGUAGAUGGCCGCUUAUCCUAGGCACGUGCACAGCUGGAGAAUAUGUAAUAAACAUGGCGGCUGAUACCUUUGUUUCCAUUUUGUAAGAAUCAAGAAUUGGCAUAACCAACUCCCCCGAGUUACUGUAGCAUCAUUUUGCUGCUUCCUGAGGGACAGAUGACUCAGCGCAAGACCUUCCUCCGAAGCACAGGAUGGGUACCGAGAGACACGUCAGCCACCGACGGCCACAGCCCUGCGAGAACAUGCUCCCAGGUAUCUGCUUUGUUUGCCAGUGUGACCCUGUCUCCCACUCCUC